RNAcentral lists this ribosomal RNA (467 nucleotides) under Myroides odoratimimus. RNAcentral describes it as "bacterial SSU rRNA". It matches the Rfam family "Bacterial small subunit ribosomal RNA", at positions 10 to 474 of the family's 1533-position model. The record is from RNAcentral. Lineage: Bacteria; Pseudomonadati; Bacteroidota; Flavobacteriia; Flavobacteriales; Flavobacteriaceae.
AGUUUGAUCCUGGCUCAGGGAUGAACGCUAGCGGCAGGCCUAACACAUGCAAGUCGAGGGGUAGAAGAAGCUUGCUUUUUUGAGACCGGCGCACGGGUGAGUAACGCGUAUGCAACCUACCUUAUACAGGGGAAUAGCCCGAAGAAAUUCGGAUUAAUGCUCCAUGGUUUAUCGAUAUGGCAUCGUAUUGAUAAUAAAGAUUUAUCGGUAUAAGAUGGGCAUGCGUAUCAUUAGCUAGUUGGUGUGGUAACGGCAUACCAAGGCAACGAUGAUUAGGGGUCCUGAGAGGGAGAUCCCCCACACUGGUACUGAGACACGGACCAGACUCCUACGGGAGGCAGCAGUGAGGAAUAUUGGUCAAUGGAGGCAACUCUGAACCAGCCAUGCCGCGUGCAGGAUGACGGUCCUAUGGAUUGUAAACUGCUUUUGUACAGGAAGAAACCUCCCUUACGAGUAGGGACUUGACG